UAGGAGCUCCCCGUUGCCGUCGCCUAGCCGCCGGACAUCCGCACGCCUGUGUGGACCUGUGUCGCACCAUACUCAUCUCUGAAUGUCGCGUCUUCUUUGCGUUGUCUGUGGUCUGCCGUCAACGAAUCUAAUGCCACCAUUCUCUCUGCCUGAUCGCGACGCUUCUCUUCGUCCCCCUCUUGGACUUCAAAAGGUGUAUGCUGAUUUUGAAGUUUAUGGUGGUGCAAUGGGAUUGAGUUCUUGCUGUUUAUAUAUGGUGGGGCUCCAUACCAGACUCAGGAGAGUAAGCUUAGGAGAGGCGUUGAUAUUGUUGUUGGCACUCCAGGUCGCGUGAAGGAUCAUAUAGAGAGAAAAAAUAUUGACCUAAGCCAGCUAAAGUUCCGUGUCCUUGAUGAGGCUAAUGAGAUGCUUAGAAUGGAUUUUGUUGAAGAUGUGGAACUAAUUCUAAGUAUUUGGUUUGGUUUUUGCCUCUUUGGCCAAAUUUCAUUUUUUUAAAUCUAUAAUUUAUAAAUUAUUUGAGGCCACUGAUGUUCCAUGCCAGUGUUUAAUUUUUUACUCUAUAGCUUCUUUUUUUUUCAGUAUAACAAUGGUCCUUGAUUUUCACAGACAAGGUACAAGAUGUUAGCAAAAUUUAGACACUUCUUUUCAGUGCUACUUUGCCAGACUGGAUUAAGUAUGUAUGUAUUGUCAUCAUCCUAUAUUUCAGUGCUACUUUGCUAGCCAUUUCUUAGGUAAAAAACCUAACAAUGAUACAAAAAAGUGCAGCCAAAGAAUUUAAUACCAAACCAGCAGAAUGGAGAGCCACUUCAAGAGAAGGUAUUUGACAUAACAAUUGAUCCAAGAUGAAAGAGGGAACAUGAUCAUGCUAAUUUGUUAUAUUUUAUUUUUUUGUUGUUUAGUUUAGGUGUGAUUGUAAC
Long non-coding RNA from Arachis stenosperma, 917 nucleotides. RefSeq lists it as uncharacterized. NCBI's taxonomy places the organism in Eukaryota, Viridiplantae, Streptophyta, Magnoliopsida, Fabales, Fabaceae. The record is from RefSeq and is a predicted model, not a curated record. The transcript is spliced from 3 exons.